UAACCUGCCCAAGAGAUCGGGAUAACACCUGGAAACAGAUGCUAAUACCGGAUAACAAUAGAUGAUGCCUAUCAACUGUUUAAAAGAUGGUUCUGCUAUCACUCUUGGAUGGACCUGCGGUGCAUUAGCUAGUUGGUAGGGUAACGGCCUACCAAGGCGAUGAUGCAUAGCCGAGUUGAGAGACUGAUCGGCCACAUUGGGACUGAGACACGGCCCAAACUCCUACGGGAGGCAGCAGGC
Molecule: ribosomal RNA, 240 nt
Filed under: uncultured Lactobacillus sp.
Lineage: Bacteria; Bacillati; Bacillota; Bacilli; Lactobacillales; Lactobacillaceae
Description: partial 16S ribosomal RNA
Rfam family: Bacterial small subunit ribosomal RNA
Source: RNAcentral